GACGAACGCUGGCGGCGUGCUUAACACAUGCAAGUCGAACGGAAAGGCCCUGCUUCUGUGGGGUGCUCGAGUGGCGAACGGGUGAGUAACACGUGAGUAACCUGCCCUUGACUUUGGGAUAACUUCAGGAAACUGGGGCUAAUACCGGAUAGGAGCUCCUGCUGCAUGGUGGGGGUUGGAAAGUUUCGGCGGUUGGGGAUGGACUCGCGGCUUAUCAGCUUGUUGGUGGGGUAGUGGCUUACCAAGGCUUUGACGGGUAGCCGGCCUGAGAGGGUGACCGGCCACAUUGGGACUGAGAUACGGCCCAGACUCCUACGGGAGGCAGCAGUGGGGAAUAUCGCACAAUGGGCGGAAGCCUGAUGCAGCGACGCCGCGUGCGGGAUGACGGCCUUCGGGUUGUAAACCGCUUUCGCCUGUGACGAAGCGUGAGUGACGGUAAUGGGUAAAGAAGCACCGGCUAACUACGUG
Molecule: ribosomal RNA, 468 nt
Filed under: uncultured bacterium
Lineage: Bacteria
Description: partial 16S ribosomal RNA
Rfam family: Bacterial small subunit ribosomal RNA
Source: RNAcentral